Long non-coding RNA from Myotis lucifugus (little brown bat), 790 nucleotides. RefSeq lists it as uncharacterized. Lineage: Eukaryota; Metazoa; Chordata; Mammalia; Chiroptera; Vespertilionidae. The transcript is spliced from 2 exons. The record is from RefSeq and is a predicted model, not a curated record.
AUGAGAAGCCAUUGGUACCGUGGGCUAGAGAGGGCUUAAUUUAGGGAAGGGUGGGGGCAAGAGGAGGAGAGGUGGAAGGUGCUGGGUUCUCGCUGGUAUCCGAUGGGACAGGGGCUGAGGAAAGCCAGGGAUGUGGUCUGGCCAGUCUCACCCGGGAUGCCAACAGCAGCUCAGUUUCUCAGCUGGUAGGCAUUUGGUGGAGGGACUGUCGUGGGUGCAUAAAGAGAAAGGCUACUUUGAGGUAGGGUCAGGGCCUGGGGUGGGAACAGGGUUUAGGCUCAAGUAAGACAAGGUUAGCUGGUUGUCAGGGAGAGGAAGCCAGUCAAAUAAGGUGUCUACGCCUGGUUAAAAAGGGGGGCACCAAGUUGCCUGCUGACUGAAACUGGUUCCAGAAAGUGAUGUGAAAAACUGUAAGCUGGGGCCAUCCUCCUAGAAAGGACCUUCUAACCUGACUGGGAGUUGUACGCCCCUGGGACCUAGGAGUCAACUUUAGACCUGGCAGUCAACCUUGGACCUGGGAACCAGCUUGGAAUGUGGUCCCUUCUCAUUCAAGAACUACCUAAUAUCACGGAAGGAAUACCGACCUUGUUGCCCAAACAAUGAAGUCCCACCCCAGCCCAAAUUGCAUACUUCCCCAAGCAUGUAAUCCCUACUUCCCCAUGUAAUCUUUGCCCUUCUUCUCAAGAUAAGCAGCUGGCUUAUGGAAGGUUGCAGAGCAGGUUUUUGUGGAUGACCCGCUGCUCUCCCAUACCGCUGGCAUUAUUGGAAUAAACGUUCUUAUAUGAUUCAA